UACGGAGGGUGCAAGCGUUAUCCGGAUUCAUUGGGUUUAAAGGGUGCGCAGGCGGGAUUUUAAGUCAGUGGUGAAAGCCCCUCGCUCAACGAGGGAACUGCCAUUGAUACUGAAGUCCUUGAAUCUGGUUGACGUGGGCGGAAUGUGUCAUGUAGCGGUGAAAUGCUUAGAUAUGACACAGAACACCGAUUGCGAAGGCAGCUCACGAAGCCAGUAUUGACGCUCAGGCACGAAAGCGUGGGGAUCAAACAGGAUUAGAUACCCUGGUAGUCCACGCUGUAAACGUUGAUCACUUGACAUUGGCGAUAUACGGUCAGUGUCCCAGAGAAAUUGUUUAGUGAUCCACCUGGGGAGUACGCCGGCAACGGUGAA
RNAcentral lists this ribosomal RNA (372 nucleotides) under uncultured bacterium. Its description in RNAcentral is "bacterial SSU rRNA". It matches the Rfam family "Bacterial small subunit ribosomal RNA", at positions 524 to 898 of the family's 1533-position model. The record is from RNAcentral.